AUUGUAUUCUUUAUAUGUACACUUAAUAUGUAACCUUUUUUCAUGUAAUUCAGGAUGUCCAUCCAAUAUUAUAUUUAUCCAAUUUGUCUUCCAUUUUCAGACUCAGUUCUUACCUUCUGUGGAUCCGUAUCUCCUCUUCCUUCAUUUUUGAAAUGAGAUUUCAAUCCUAUCCAGCAUUGGUAAUAGUCGUGAUCCAUGAAUGG
This 203-nucleotide unclassified non-coding RNA is filed under the name Hevea brasiliensis (rubber tree). Lineage: Eukaryota; Viridiplantae; Streptophyta; Magnoliopsida; Malpighiales; Euphorbiaceae. The record is from RNAcentral.